This 298-nucleotide long non-coding RNA is filed under the name Homo sapiens (human). RNAcentral describes it as "non-protein coding lnc-SLC17A4-1:1". The record is from RNAcentral. Lineage: Eukaryota; Metazoa; Chordata; Mammalia; Primates; Hominidae.
UGCCUAAACCAUUGUAAAUUCUUAGACCUUAUAUAAUGUAAUGUCUUGAUAUUAUAGCACUUGCCAAAGGUCCUUGCUCCCAACCUUUUUCACUUCGAGUCUCCAUUUUACAACUGUUCUUCCUACUUCGUUGAAGGCCCUUCCCAGUCUUUUUUGCAAACUUCUCUUUUUCAUCCUCAUCUUUUGAUGUUAAAGAGGCCCAGCCUCCCAAAUUUAUAUCUCCAGCCUUAGCAUCCCCACAGAGUCCCACAGCCAUUUCAGGAUGUCUAAUAUUCUCAGGCUUAACAUGGUCUCCUCU